RNAcentral lists this ribosomal RNA (2755 nucleotides) under Polycephalomyces kanzashianus. RNAcentral describes it as "SSU rRNA". The stretch from base 1805 to 2680 matches the Rfam family "Bacterial small subunit ribosomal RNA". Lineage: Eukaryota; Fungi; Ascomycota; Sordariomycetes; Hypocreales; Polycephalomycetaceae. The record is from RNAcentral.
CUAAUCGAACGUUUUAAUUAAUCAUAAUUAAAAAGUGGUGUACAGGUGAGUAUAACGAUAUUCUUAGCCGACCUUAAAGUGAAGGUAAAUCCUUCAUAAUAAAUAAAGGAAAAUUUUUCUGCUUUAAGAGGACAAUAAAUAUCUUCGAGAUAGGUAGUAGUUAAGGUGAUGGCUUAACUAGCCAAAAACUCUCGUAGUCGAAUCUGAAAGGUUGAUCGACCACAUUGGGUCUGAAAAAACCCCAAUGCAAGUUAGUACAGCAGUGAGGAAUCUUGGUCAAUGGCCUAACGGCUGAACUGGCAACUUGGAGAAGUGGUAAGUCUUAUUUUGAUUAUAUCUAACGCUAUAAAGCGUAAUGAAUAUAAUCUAAAAGAUUGUAUUAAAAUUGAAUAAAACUUUGUUUACAUAUUGAUAAUGACAAUAUGUAUAUUAUGUCUUGACUAAUUACGUGCCAGCAGUCGCGGUAAUACGUAAGAGACUAGUGUUAUUCAUCUUAAUUAGGUGCUUUGUGAAGUAGGAUCUCACAUGUGUGCCUCAAACCAUCAAACUCCGGGGACUCCCUAAAGCUUUUGGGACCAAGCCUUAUAUGAAAAUAUAUAGGUGGCUGAAUUAAUUACUCAGGUACGGUAACAAGCCAAAAGAUGAUCGAAAGUGAAAUGGGUUAUCGCGGAUCUAAAUCAAUAAUAAAGGUACAGCCAAGGCAAAAUAUUAUUGUAAAAGAGCAACGAGUAGACGGUGGUUACAUUAAUAAUAGUUUAAUGUUAAGGUGUACUCUAAUGGACCUUGAAAGAGGUUAUCAAAGCAGAAUCCUUUCUAACCAUUUUAAUAAUAAUUUAAAAAGAUUAUAUAGUACAAAGGCAGUGCUAGAUAAUGAACAAAUAUCUCCUAAUUUUACUUUAAAUCCUUGAUUUAUUUCAGGAUUUAUUGAUGGAGAAGGUUGUUUUAGAAUUUCUUUUACUAAGAAAGAUAACUUGAUAGGUUGAAGAGUCCAAUUAUUUUUCCAAAUUACUUUACAUCAAAAAGAUAAACUUUUAUUAGAAAGUAUCAAAAAUUACUGAGGCGUAGGAAAAGUAUAUAAGUCUGGUAAAGAUACUCUUCAAUAUAAAAUCCAAUCUUUUACUGAAAUUAAGGCUAUAUUAAAUCAUUUAGAUAAAUAUCCUCUUAUUAGUAAAAAGCGUGCAGACUAUGAAUUAUUUAAAAAUGCAUAUUAUAUUAUUUUAAAUAAAGAACAUCUUACUAAGUUAGGAUUACGAAAACUGGUUGCUUUAAGAGCUUCUUUAAAUUUAGGUUUACCUAAACAAUUGAAAACUGCUUUUCCAGAUAUUAUACCUAUGACUAGACCUUUAGUAGAAGACAUAAAGAUCCGAAAUAUUCACUGAUUAAUUGGAUUUGUCUCAGCUGAAGGUUGUUUUCUGGUAGGAUUACGUAAAUCUAGUAGUUAUUCAGCAGGAUAUCAAGUAUAUUUAACAUUUAUAAUUACUCAACACAUUCGAGAUGAACAAUUAAUGAAUAGUUUAAUAGAAUAUCUAGGGUGUGGUAAUAUAAAUAAGAAGAAAGAGGUCUUUGAAUAUCAAGUUUCUAAAUAUUCAGACUUAACGGAAAAGAUAAUACCUUUAUUUAAUAAAUAUCCUAUAAUAGGACAAAAAUAUGAAGAUUUUAAAGAUUUUGAGAAAGUAGCUAUUUUGAUGGAAAAUAGAAAACAUUUAACCAUAGCCGGAGUAGAUGAAAUACGAAGUAUUAAAGUAAAUAUGAAUAAAGGUAGAAAAUUAAAUUAAAUUUAUUAUUAAUUUGUAUGAUAAAUCUGUUUAGUCACAGUUAGUGCCGAACUGUGAUAGCCAUGUUAAAGGGUACUUAGACGGUCAAUAUAGCUUCUAGAAUGUUAGUACUUGACUAGAGUUUGAUAUAAGAGGGCAGUACUUAAGGAGGAGAGAUGAAAUUUUAUGAUACCAAAGGGACUCGGUAAAGGCGAAGGCAGCUCUUUAUGUAAAAACUGACGUUGAAGGACGAAGGCACAGAACACAAACAGGAUUAGAUACCCAAGUAGUCUUUGCAGUAAAUGAUGAAUGCCAUAAGUUAGAUUAAGCUUUAAUAAUAAAGUUUAUCAGUAAAGAACAUAUUAUUAAAUAAUAUUUAGUUUAUAAAUGAAAGUGUAAGCAUUCCACCUCAAGAGUAAUGUGGCAACGCAGGAACUGAAAUCACUAGACCGUUUCUGACACCAGUAGUGAAGUAUGUUGUUUAAUUCGUAAAUACACGAAAAACCUUACCAUAACUUGAAUAAUUUUUACAGGAGUUGCACGGCUGUUUUCAGUUAAUGUUGUGAAACUAUGGUUUCCAUGUAAUUAACGUAAUCCCUGGCUUUAUUUUUUAUUAUUUACUAUAAAGCAUUUGAUCCUAUAUUUAGGAAAGAAAAAGGGGACAAAGACAAGUCAUCAUGGCCUUAAUGUUAUGGGCUAUAGACAUGCCACAUAUACCUAAACAAAGAGAUGCAAAAAUGUGAAUUUGAGCUAAUCUCUAAAAUAGGUUAUAAAUUUAAAGGAUUGUAGUCUGAAACUCGACUAUAUGAAUAAGUAAUUACUAGUAAUCGUGAAUCACCACGUCACGGUGAAUUAACCUUGGAUUGGUACUAACCACUCGUCACAUGCUGAAAAGAGCAUGCGCAAUAAGUUUGCUUUCUUAAUAAUUAGUAAAAAAAACAUAAAGGAUUUUAUAUAAUCUAUUAUUAAGAAUCUUCGUAUGCGUGGCUCUAAUUAGUGUU